UACGUAGGGGGCAAGCGUUGUCCGGAUUCAUUGGGCGUAAAGAGCUCGUAGGCGGCUUGGCAGGUCGGGUGUGAAAACUCCAGGCUCAACCUGGAGACGCCACCCGAUACUGCCAUGGCUUGAGUCCGGUAGGGGACCACGGAAUUCCUGGUGUAGCGGUGAAAUGCGCAGAUAUCAGGAGGAACACCGGUGGCGAAGGCGGUGGUCUGGGCCGGUACUGACGCUGAGGAGCGAAAGCGUGGGGAGCGAACAGG
Molecule: ribosomal RNA, 254 nt
Filed under: uncultured bacterium
Lineage: Bacteria
Description: partial 16S ribosomal RNA
Rfam family: Bacterial small subunit ribosomal RNA
Source: RNAcentral